This 964-nucleotide ribosomal RNA is filed under the name uncultured bacterium. RNAcentral describes it as "bacterial SSU rRNA". It matches the Rfam family "Bacterial small subunit ribosomal RNA", at positions 494 to 1457 of the family's 1533-position model. The record is from RNAcentral.
CUUGUGAUUGUGCCAGCCGCCGCGGUGAUACGGAGGGUGCAAGCGUUAAUCGGAAUUACUGGGCGUAAAGCGCACGCAGGCGGUCUGUCAAGUCGGAUGUGAAAUCCCCGGGCUCAACCUGGGAACUGCAUUCGAAACUGGCAGGCUAGAGUCUUGUAGAGGGGGGUAGAAUUCCAGGUGUAGCGGUGAAAUGCGUAGAGAUCUGGAGGAAUACCGGUGGCGAAGGCGGCCCCCUGGACAAAGACUGACGCUCAGGUGCGAAAGCGUGGGGAGCAAACAGGAUUAGAUACCCUGGUAGUCCACGCCGUAAACGAUGUCGAUUUGGAGGUUGUGCCCUUGAGGCGUGGCUUCCGGAGCUAACGCGUUAAAUCGACCGCCUGGGGAGUACGGCCGCAAGGUUAAAACUCAAAUGAAUUGACGGGGGCCCGCACAAGCGGUGGAGCAUGUGGUUUAAUUCGAUGCAACGCGAAGAACCUUACCUGGUCUUGACAUCCACAGAACUUAGCAGAGAUGCUUUGGUGCCUUCGGGAACUGUGAGACAGGUGCUGCAUGGCUGUCGUCAGCUCGUGUUGUGAAAUGUUGGGUUAAGUCCCGCAACGAGCGCAACCCUUAUCCUUUGUUGCCAGCGGUUAGGCCGGGAACUCAAAGGAGACUGCCAGUGAUAAACUGGAGGAAGGUGGGGAUGACGUCAAGUCAUCAUGGCCCUUACGACCAGGGCUACACACGUGCUACAAUGGCAUAUACAAAGAGAAGCGACCUCGCGAGAGCAAGCGGACCUCAUAAAGUAUGUCGUAGUCCGGAUUGGAGUCUGCAACUCGACUCCAUGAAGUCGGAAUCGCUAGUAAUCGUAGAUCAGAAUGCUACGGUGAAUACGUUCCCGGGCCUUGUACACACCCGCCCGUCCUCUCUAUGGGAGGUGGGUUGCAAAAGAAGUAGGUAGCUUAACCUUCGGGAGGGCGCUUAC